CGCAUCCGCCAACGAGGAGGCCGGGACCACCGGAUCCGGUGACUCCGGCCUCCUCGCCGGCAGAUCCGG
RNAcentral lists this microRNA precursor (69 nucleotides) under Oryza sativa (Asian cultivated rice). RNAcentral describes it as "miR1846e stem-loop (osa-MIR1846e)". It matches the Rfam family "MIR1846 microRNA precursor family", at positions 10 to 77 of the family's 110-position model. The record is from miRBase by way of RNAcentral. Lineage: Eukaryota; Viridiplantae; Streptophyta; Magnoliopsida; Poales; Poaceae.